UAGAAAGGAGGUGAUCCAGCCAUGCCGCGUGCAGGAUGACGGCCCUAUGGGUUGUAAACUGCUUUUAUGUAGGAAGAAACACUCUCACGUGUGAGAGCUUGACGGUACUACAAGAAUAAGGACCGGCUAACUCCGUGCCAGCAGCCGCGGUAAUACGGAGGGUCCAAGCGUUAUCCGGAAUCAUUGGGUUUAAAGGGUCCGUAGGCGGGCUAUUAAGUCAGAGGUGAAAGUUUGCAGCUCAACUGUAAAAUUGCCUUUGAAACUGGUAGUCUUGAAUUAUUAUGAAGUGGUUAGAAUAAGUAGUGUAGCGGUGAAAUGCAUAGAUAUUACUUAGAAUACCAAUUGCGAAGGCAGAUCACUAAUAAUAUAUUGACGCUGAGGGACGAAAGCGUGGGGAGCGAACAGGAUUAGAUACCCUGGUAGUCCACGCCGUAAACGAUGGAUACUAGCUGUUCGGAUUUAUCUGAGUGGCUAAGCGAAAGUGAUAAGUAUCCCACCUGGGGAGUACGUUCGCAAGAAUGAAACUCAAAGGAAUUGACGGGGGCCCGCACAAGCGGUGGAGCAUGUGGUUUAAUUCGAUGAUACGCGAGGAACCUUACCAGGGCUUAAAUGUAGUCUGACAGGCGUGGAAACAUGCUUUUCUUCGGACAGAUUACAAGGUGCUGCAUGGUUGUCGUCAGCUCGUGCCGUGAGGUGUCAGGUUAAGUCCUAUAACGAGCGCAACCCCUGUUGUUAGUUGCCAGCGAGUCAUGUCGGGAACUCUAACAAGACUGCCAGUGCAAACUGUGAGGAAGGUGGGGAUGACGUCAAAUCAUCACGGCCCUUACGUCCUGGGCCACACACGUGCUACAAUGGUAGGUACAGAGAGCAGCCACUGCGCGAGCAGGAGCGAAUCUAUAAAACCUAUCUCAGUUCGGAUCGGAGUCUGCAACUC
RNAcentral lists this ribosomal RNA (934 nucleotides) under uncultured Flavobacteriaceae bacterium. Its description in RNAcentral is "bacterial SSU rRNA". It matches the Rfam family "Bacterial small subunit ribosomal RNA", at positions 376 to 1313 of the family's 1533-position model. The record is from RNAcentral. Lineage: Bacteria; Pseudomonadati; Bacteroidota; Flavobacteriia; Flavobacteriales; Flavobacteriaceae.